UUAUCCGGAAUCACUGGGCGUAAAGCGUCUGUAGGUGGUUUAGUAAGUCUAUUGUUAAAUCUUGAGGCUCAACUUCAAAUCAGCGAUGGAAACUGCUAGACUAGAGUGUGGUAGAGGUAAGAGGAAUUCCCAGUGGAGCGGUGAAAUGCGUAGAUAUUGGAAAGAACACCGAUGGCGAAGGCAUCUUACUGGGCCAUAACUGACACUCAGAAACGAAAGCUAGGGUAGCAAAUGGGAUUAGAUACCCCAGUAGUUCUAGCAGUAAACGAUGGAUACUAGAUGUUGCCCGUAUCAACCCGUGCAGUGUCAAAGCUAACGCGUUAAGUAUCCCGCCUGGGAAGUAUGCACGCAAGUGUGAAACUCAAAGGAAUUGACGGGGGCCCGCACAAGCGGUGGAGCAUGUGGUUUAAUUUGAUGCAACGCGAAGAACCUUACCAGGGUUUGACAUGACAUGAAUUUUUCUGAGAAGAAAAAGUGCCUUUUAGGAACAUGUACACAGGUGGUGCAUGGCUGUCGUCAGCUCGUGUCGUGAGAUGUUGGGUUAAGUCCCGCAACGAGCGCAACCCUUGUUUUUAGUUAUUUUUCUAGAAAGACUGCCGGUUAUAAGCCGGAGGAAGGCGGGGACGACGUCAAGUCAGCAUGCCCCUUAUACCCUGGGCUACACACGUGCUACAUUGGGUAAGACAAUGAGUCGCGAGCCUGUGAAGGUCAGCAAAUCUAUAAACUUACUCUAAGUUCGGAUUGUAGGCUGCAA
This 754-nucleotide ribosomal RNA is filed under the name uncultured marine dictyochophyte. RNAcentral describes it as "bacterial SSU rRNA". It matches the Rfam family "Bacterial small subunit ribosomal RNA", at positions 541 to 1310 of the family's 1533-position model. The record is from RNAcentral. Lineage: Eukaryota; Dictyochophyceae.